ACCCGCUGAACUUAAGCAUAUCAAUAAGCGGAGGAAAAGAAACUAGCAAGGAUUCCCCUAGUAACGGCGAGUGAAGCGGGAUGAGCUCAAAUUUAAAAUCUGGCUGGUUUUACUAGUCCGAAUUGUAGUUUAAAGAAGCGUUUUCGGUGGCAGCUUGGGUAUAAAUCCUUUGGAAUAGGGUAUCAUAGAGGGUGAGAAUCCCGUCUUUGACUCAGUGCAUGCUACUAUGUGAUACGUUUUCAAAGAGUCGAGUUGUUUGGGAAUGUAGCUCAAAAUGGGUGGUAAAUUUCAUCUAAAGCUAAAUAUUGGCGAGAGACCGAUAGCGAACAAGUACCGUGAGGGAAAGAUGAAAAGAACUUUGAAAAGAGAGUUAAACAGUGCGUGAAAUUGUUGAAAGGGAAACGUUUGACACCAGUGAUGCGGGUGAGAAAUCAGUCUUUUAGAGUGGGGAGGGGCAAGAAAUCAGACCGUAAGGCUGACUUUUGUUUCAUCUCUGCUCUAGUGGAUGCACUUUUUCAUUUGCAGGUCAACAUCAGUUUCUUCUGCUGGACAAAACUCUGAGAGAAGGUAGCAGCUUUGGCUGUGUUAUAGCUCUGGAGCGAUACAGUGGGGGGGACUGAGGUUUUCGCAGUGUGUGCUUUCGGGCAAGGUUGAUUAGGUGCUAUGUGAUCGUUCGGUGUACAAAUGCAUGCAUUUUGCACUGUGUUCUUUUGCAUACUCGCUUGACUCGACUCUUCCACGCUAAGGAUGUUGACUUAAUGGUUUUAAACGGACCCGUCUUGAAACACGG
Molecule: ribosomal RNA, 790 nt
Filed under: uncultured fungus
Lineage: Eukaryota; Fungi
Description: LSU rRNA
Rfam family: Eukaryotic large subunit ribosomal RNA
Source: RNAcentral